GAUGAACGCUGGCGGCGUGCCUAAUACAUGCAAGUCGAGCGAACAGAUAAGGAGCUUGCUCCUUUGACGUUAGCGGCGGACGGGUGAGUAACACGUGGGUAACCUACCUAUAAGACUGGAAUAACUCCGGGAAACCGGGGCUAAUGCCGGAUAACAUUUAGAACCGCAUGGUUCUAAAGUGAAAGAUGGUUUUGCUAUCACUAAUAGAUGGACCCGCGCCGUAUUAGCUAGUUGGUAAGGUAACGGCUUAGCAAGGCAACGAUACGUAGCCGACCUGAGAGGGUGAUCGGCCACACUGGAACUGAGACACGGUACAGACUCCUACGGGAGGCAGCAGUAGGGAAUCCUCCGCGAUGGGCGAAAGCGUGACGGAGCAACACCGGGUGAGUGAUGAAGGUCUUCGGAUCGUAAAGCGCUGUUAUUAGGGAAGAACAAAUGUGUAAUUAACUGUGCACGUAUUGACGGUACCUAAUCAGAAAGCCACGGCUAACUACGUG
Molecule: ribosomal RNA, 497 nt
Filed under: uncultured bacterium
Lineage: Bacteria
Description: partial 16S ribosomal RNA
Rfam family: Bacterial small subunit ribosomal RNA
Source: RNAcentral